GAUGAACGCUGGCGGCGUGCUUAACACAUGCAAGUCGAGCGAAGCACUUCACUUUUAUUCUUCGGAUGCGAGGUGAUCUGACUGAGCGGCGGACGGGUGAGUAACGCGUGGGCAACCUGCCUCAUACAGGGGGAUAACAGUUAGAAAUGACUGCUAAUACCGCAUAAGACCGCGGUGCCGCAUGGCACAGCGGUAAAAACUCCGGUGGUAUGAGAUGGGCUCGCGUCUGAUUAGCUAGUUGGCGGGGUAACGGCCCACCAAGGCGACGAUCAGUAGCCGACCUGAGAGGGCGACCGGCCACAUUGGGACUGAGACACGGCCCAAACUCCUACGGGAGGCAGCAGUGGGGAAUAUUGCACAAUGGGGGAAACCCUGAUGCAGCGACGCCGCGUGAGCGAUGAAGUAUUUCGGUAUGUAAAGCUCUAUCAGCAGGGAAGAAGAUGACGGUAC
Molecule: ribosomal RNA, 450 nt
Filed under: uncultured bacterium
Lineage: Bacteria
Description: bacterial SSU rRNA
Rfam family: Bacterial small subunit ribosomal RNA
Source: RNAcentral